This 756-nucleotide ribosomal RNA is filed under the name Escherichia coli. Its description in RNAcentral is "partial 23S ribosomal RNA". It matches the Rfam family "Bacterial large subunit ribosomal RNA", at positions 1 to 788 of the family's 2925-position model. Lineage: Bacteria; Pseudomonadati; Pseudomonadota; Gammaproteobacteria; Enterobacterales; Enterobacteriaceae. The record is from RNAcentral.
GGGUUGUGAGGUUAAGCGACUAAGCGUACACGGUGGAUGCCCUGGCAGUCAGAGGCGAUGAAGGACGUGCUAAUCUGCGAUAAGCGUCGGUAAGGUGAUAUGAACCGUUAUAACCGGCGAUUUCCGAAUGGGGAAACCCAGUGUGAUUCGUCACACUAUCAUUAACUGAAUCCAUAGGUUAAUGAGGCGAACCGGGGGAACUGAAACAUCUAAGUACCCCGAGGAAAAGAAAUCAACCGAGAUUCCCCCAGUAGCGGCGAGCGAACGGGGAGCAGCCCAGAGCCUGAAUCAGUGUGUGUGUUAGUGGAAGCGUCUGGAAAGGCGUGCGAUACAGGGUGACAGCCCCGUACACAAAAAUGCACAUAUUGUGAGCUCGAUGAGUAGGGCGGGACACGUGGUAUCCUGUCUGAAUAUGGGGGGACCAUCCUCCAAGGCUAAAUACUCCUGACUGACCGAUAGUGAACCAGUACCGUGAGGGAAAGGCGAAAAGAACCCCGGCGAGGGGAGUGAAAAAGAACCUGAAACCGUGUACGUACAAGCAGUGGGAGCACAGAGCAAUCUGUGUGACUGCGUACCUUUUGUAUAAUGGGUCAGCGACUUAUAUUCUGUAGCAAGGUUAACCGAAUAGGGGAGCCGAAGGGAAACCGAGUCUUAACUGGGCGUUAAGUUGCAGGGUAUAGACCCGAAACCCGGUGAUCUAGCCAUGGGCAGGUUGAAGGUUGGGUAACACUAACUGGAGGACCGAACCGACUAAUG